UGAGAAUACUCUUUUUUCCAUUUCUGGACUUUUCCAAGAAGACAAAUCUGGAUCCAUUUUGUGAAGACAUGAUGAGUGUAAAUGUAGAAAUUAAAAAAAAAAGAUGAGAAAAUCUUUAUAUAUGUACUCUCUGUAAGAUGCAAUGAAACCAACCCCUUGUCAAAAUAAAUUAACUCCACCCAUCCCAAAAAGCUUCAUAUCAUACCAUUAGUCCGUUUUGAAGCAUAAAAAAUUGAAUAAGUCAAUUUGGGAAAUUUACCCACCCACAAAUUUCCCGCCAAGUCCCACAUUUAUUCAUACAAAAAAAAAUAACACUUGCACAUAACACAACAAAUAGCAAUAAAGAAUAACAUUGACUUCAUAUCACAUGAAAUACAUACCAGACGAAAAAAGACAACGCAAGAAAAGGGGAACACUUACACAAAGCAGACGGGUGCACUCUGCUGAAACCAUAUAAUUCACCCCAUGGUUUCCGCGAGGAAGAGUAGCCAACGAAAAAAGACGAUGUAUUUAAAUGGUAAAAUAUUAGUUUAUUCUAAAUUAUUAAUUUUUUUUUUAUGUGCACAUAACACAACAAAUAUCACAGCCAAUAAAGAAUAACAUUAACUUCAUAUCACAUAAAAUAUAUAAUCAGAGGGAGAAAACAAAGACAACGCAUGAAAACAGGCGCACUGUACUGAAACCAUAUAAAUAUACCGCGAGGAGGAGUAGCCAACGAAAAAAGACGAUGUAUUCAAAUGGUUAAAUAUUAGUUUAUUUUAAGUUAUUAUAUUAUUUUUCACAGCAGAAUCGUAAAAUUUCCGUGGAUAGAUUGCAGA
Molecule: long non-coding RNA, 818 nt
Filed under: Mytilus galloprovincialis (Mediterranean mussel)
Lineage: Eukaryota; Metazoa; Mollusca; Bivalvia; Mytilida; Mytilidae
Source: RNAcentral